UACGUAGGUCCCGAGCGUUGUCCGGAUUUAUUGGGCGUAAAGCGAGCGCAGGUGGUUUAUUAAGUCUGGUGUAAAAGGCAGUGGCUCAACCAUUGUAUGCAUUGGAAACUGGGAGACUUGAGUGCAGAAGAGGAGAGUGGAACUCCAUGUGUAGCGGUGAAAUGCGUAGAUAUAUGGAAGAACACCAGUGGCGAAAGCGGCUCUCUGGUCUGUAACUGACGCUGGGGUUCGAAAGCGUGGGUAGCAAACAGG
This 252-nucleotide ribosomal RNA is filed under the name uncultured bacterium. RNAcentral's name for it is "partial 16S ribosomal RNA". It matches the Rfam family "Bacterial small subunit ribosomal RNA", at positions 524 to 776 of the family's 1533-position model. The record is from RNAcentral.